This 349-nucleotide long non-coding RNA is filed under the name Rattus norvegicus (Norway rat). Its description in RNAcentral is "long non-coding RNA NONRATT022618". The record is from RNAcentral. Lineage: Eukaryota; Metazoa; Chordata; Mammalia; Rodentia; Muridae.
CAGAAAGGUGAAGUAACCCAUCCAAGUUCACCAGGCAGGUAAACACCAAGCUGGCGAAAUGGUGGGGCUGGGAGCCUGCAACCUGACUGGAGUUACCCUGAUUGUCUUGCUACUCCCCAGAAAGCUUAGAGACAGCAGGGCAGUUGUGACUAAUUACAAUGGCUGUCAGAAAGCCAAGGAUACAGUCCGGUUCAUCAGGAUACCCAGAUGCUAAGCUGGAACAGACCCUGCAUCUGCAAGCAGAAAGCACAGUCAGAGCUGAACCAGUGAGUGAGGCCAGGAGCUACGUGAAGGCUGGACCUCCAUCCUAACCUUGGCUGCCUGUACUCUUCUGACAGCUCCCGUUCUU